UGUGCUUGGUGAGCGCGGCGAUCUGCAUCGGCCCGUAGCUGAUGGCGCAGAGGAAGUCGACGUAGUCGGCGGCGGCGAUGUCGUAGACGAGGCCCGGAUCCACCGCCUUGCUGGGGUCGACGUGGCCGGCGCCGACGUCGAGCGGCGUCGCCGGGAGGCCGGUGGCCACGUCGAGGAUGCCGUUGCCGUUGGGGUAGCCGUUGUACGACGUGGUCAUCAGCGCCGAGCGGAUCGCCGCCGGGCUCCAGUCCUGGUGCGCCGCGCGGAGCAACGCC
RNAcentral lists this long non-coding RNA (275 nucleotides) under Oryza sativa (Asian cultivated rice). RNAcentral's name for it is "long non-coding RNA (OSAT_LNC000648)". The record is from RNAcentral. Lineage: Eukaryota; Viridiplantae; Streptophyta; Magnoliopsida; Poales; Poaceae.